UCCAUAGUGGUCCAAUGGUUAGGACUCUGCCUUCCAAGCAGGGGUCACAGGUUCAAUCCCUGGUCAGUGAA
RNAcentral lists this transfer RNA (71 nucleotides) under Bos taurus (domestic cattle). It matches the Rfam family "tRNA". Rfam says of the family: Transfer RNA (tRNA) molecules are approximately 80 nucleotides in length. The record is from Rfam by way of RNAcentral. Lineage: Eukaryota; Metazoa; Chordata; Mammalia; Artiodactyla; Bovidae. RNAcentral also lists the same sequence under 3 other names.